AUAGUUAGUGGCGAAAGGGUUAGUAAUGGCUAGGUAACGUACCCCGUGCUCCGGGAUAGCUAUUCGAAAGGAUAGGUAAUACCGGAUAACAUCGUGAAUCGAUAGGUUUACGAUCAAAGAUUUAUCGGCGUGGGAGCGGCCUAGUUCCUAUCAGCUUGUUGGUGAGGUAACGGCUCACCAAGGCAUCGACGGGUAGCGGGACUGAGAGGUUGGCCCGCAACAUCGGAACUGAGACACUGUCCGGACCUCCACGGAGGGCUGCAGUAACGAAUAUCGCGCAAUGGGCGAAAGCCUGACGCAGCGACGCCGCGUGUAGGAGGAAGUCCCUCGGGAUGUAAACUACUUUUCGGGUUACGAAAGUCUUCGGAUUGAUCUACCCCGGAAUAAGUCACGGCUAACUUCGUGCCAGCAGCCGCGGUAAGACGAAGGUGGCGAGCGUUGUUCGGUAUUACUGGGCUUAAAGCGUGUGUAGGCGGAAAUGUAAGCAUCUUGUGAAAUCCCUCGGCUCAACCGAGGAAUUGCUUGGCGAACUACAUUUCUUGAGGCAAGUAGGGGUACACGGAACUCUUGGUGGAGCGGUGGAAUGCGUAGAUAUCAAGAGGAACGCCGGUGGAGAAGUCGGUGUACUGGGCUUGUCCUGACGCUGAGACACGAAAGCGUGGGGAGCAAACAGGAUUAGAUACCCUGGUAGUCCACGCUGUAAACGAUGUCAACUAGGUCGUGCGGGUUCUGACGCCGGCACGGCCGAAGCAAAAGUGUUAAGUUGACCGCCUGGGGAGUACGGUCGCAAGGCUAAAACUCAAAGGAAUUGACGGGGGCUCACACAAGCGGUGGAGCAUGUGGAUUAAUUCGAAUCAACGCGCAGAACCUUACCUGGGUUUGACAUGCUUGGAUGCUCUUUGGGAAACCAGAGUAGGCUGCCCUUCGGGGUGAAACUUGCACAGGUGCUGCAUGGCUGUCGUCAGCUCGUGUCGUGAGAUGUUGGGUUAAGUCCUUUAACGAGCGAAACCCUUGCCGCUAGUUGCCAGCGAGUCAUGUCGGGGACUCUAGCGGGACUGCCGGUGUUAAACCGGAGGAAGGUGGGGAUGACGUCAAGUCCUCAUGGCCUUUAUGCCCAGGGCUUCACACGUGCUACAAUGGUUCGGACAGAGCGACGCAAGACCGCGAGGUGGAGCAAAUCGCAAAAACCGAGCCUCAGUUCGGAUUGCAGGCUGGCAACUCGCCUGCAUGAAGGUGGAAUCGCUAGUAAUCGCGUGUCAGCUAUAACGCGGUAAAUGUGUUCCUGAGCCUUGUACACACCGCCCGUCAAGUGAUGGGAGUUGGGAGUACCCGAAGUCGGAUUGCUAACCAGCAAUGGAGGCGUCUGCCGACGGUAAGCCCGAUGACUGGCACUAAGUCGGGACAAGGUA
RNAcentral lists this ribosomal RNA (1409 nucleotides) under metagenome. Its description in RNAcentral is "bacterial SSU rRNA". It matches the Rfam family "Bacterial small subunit ribosomal RNA". The record is from RNAcentral.